CCAACAGGGAUUGCCUUAGUAACGGCGAGUGAAGCGGCAAGAGCUCAAAUUUGAAAUCUGAUCCUUUCGGGGGUCCGAGUUGUAAUUUGCAGAGAGUGUUUCGGGUGAGACCGCGGUCUAAGUCCAUUGGAACAUGGUGUCAUAGAGGGUGAGAAUCCCGUAUGUGACUGCGGGUCGAGCCCAUGUGAAGCCUCUUCGACGAGUCGAGUUGUUUGGGAAUGCAGCUCAAAAUGGGUGGUAAAUUUCAUCUAAAGCUAAAUACCGGCUGGAGACCGAUAGCGCACAAGUAGAGUGAUCGAAAGAUGAAAAGCACUUUGAAAAGAGAGUCAAACAGUACGUGAAAUUGUUGAAAGGGAAGCGUUUGCAACCAGACCUGCCCGUAGGUGAUCAACCGCUGUUUUCAGUGGUGCACUCGCUCUACGAUCAGGCCAGCAUCGGUUCGGGCGGCCGGACAAAGGCCUUGGGAAUGUAGCUCUCCCCGGGGAGUUUUAUAGCCCUCGGUGCAAUGCGGCCAGCCUGGACCGAGGACCGCGCUUCGGCUAGGAUGCUGGCGUAAUGGCUGUAAACGACCCGUCUUGAAACACGGACCAAGGAGUCUAACAUCUAUGCGAGUGUUUGGGUGUCAAACCCAUACGCGGAAUGAAAGUGAACGGAGGUGAGAACCCCUAAGGGCGCAUCAUCGACCGAUCCAGAUGUCUUCGGAUGGAUUUGAGUAUGAGCAUAGCUGUUGGGACCCGAAAGAUGAUGAACUAUACUUGAAUAGGGUGAAGCCAGAGGAAACUCUGGUGGAGGCUCGCAGCGGUUCUGACGUGCAAAUCGAUCGUCAAAUUUGGGUAUAGGGGCGAAAGACUAAUCGAAUCAUCUAGUAGCUGGUUCCUGCCGAAGUUUCCCUCAGGAUAGCAGUAACGUUUUCAGUUUUAUGAGGUAAAGCGAAUGAUUAGAGGCCUUGGGGUUGAAACAACCUUAACCUAUUCUCAAACUUUAAAUAUGUAAGAAGUCCUUGUUACUUAGUUGAACGUGGACAUUUGAAUGCACCGUUACUAGUGGGCCAUUUUUGGUAAGCAGAACUGGCGAUGCGGGAUGAACCGAACGCGAGGUUAAGGUGCCGGAAUGUACGCUCAUCAGACACCACGAAUAGCGUACCGGGAAGGCUCUCGAUUUACUCGGGUGGGCUCCGCGCUCACGGGGAGCAACUGUGGUGUCGCGCUCCGUAGGCUCCGGCCUCUGGGGGACAGUCUCGUCGCAGGCGAGGUCUUUGAUUUAUAGGGGCUCGCUUUAUUAGCUUACCCUUGGCCGUCGUCCGACGGCUCACAGAUCAAGCAAGGGCCGGCGGUUUAAUCACUUUCCGCUUAAGAUAUGAUCGGCUUCCAGGCUACGAGCCUGGAAAUUAUGCGCAAAAGGUGUUGAUUCAUCUAGACAGCCGGACGGUGGCCAUGGAAGUCGGAAACCGCUAAGGAGUGUGUAACAACUCACCGGCCGAAUGAAUCAGCCCUGAAAAUGGAUGGCGCUCAAGCGUGCUACCCAUACCUCGCCGCCAGGGUAGAAACGAUGCCCUGGCGAGUAGGCAGGCGUGGGGGUCCGUGACGAAGCCUUGGGAGUGAUCCCGGGUAGAACGGCCCCUAGUGCAG
Molecule: ribosomal RNA, 1628 nt
Filed under: Pseudephebe pubescens
Lineage: Eukaryota; Fungi; Ascomycota; Lecanoromycetes; Lecanorales; Parmeliaceae
Description: eukaryotic LSU rRNA
Rfam family: Eukaryotic large subunit ribosomal RNA
Source: RNAcentral